RNAcentral lists this long non-coding RNA (5224 nucleotides) under Sus scrofa (pig). Its description in RNAcentral is "lncRNA (ENSSSCG00000043786.1)". Lineage: Eukaryota; Metazoa; Chordata; Mammalia; Artiodactyla; Suidae. The record is from RNAcentral.
CAGUGAGUUCCACAAAUGCAACAGACACUUUCACAUUUCUUUGUGAAGGUCUUUGUUCACACUAAGUCCUCAUCUGGAAUGUCCUUACUCUGCUUUUACAUGGAAAAUCCUAGCUCAACUAAAAUAUCCCCCAUUUAUGAAGCCUUGGGUACCUUCCACAGCUGAACAUAAUUGCUCUUUCCUAUAAACUCCUAUAGCAUGUGGAGUAAAUUAAUAUGUUAGACACGGAUAAAGUUUUACAGUUCAAACUUCCUUGAGAAAUCAUGGUGUUAGAUGAUUGGGUUUUCAGUCAAAGAAACAUAACAUAAAUCGGGUGAAAUAAAAGAUGUAUUUAUUAGUUCAUGUAACCAAAAAUCCAGUGGCUGAGGUGGCUAAAUGCAGUGCCCAGCUAGUGUUCUCAGGGAUCUGUCUUAUUUCUUGGCUCUGGUUUCCUCCGUGUUGAUUCUGAUCUGAAACAGACCCUUCACUCAGCAUAAUAGGAAAGUGGUUUUCGGAAGCCCCAGAUUUACGUGGUAUUUUUAGUUCUUCAUCUCAGAAGGAAAGAAACCCUGUUCCACAGCACUGGUACCAACGUCUCUUUUCCUUGGGCACUGAUUGUCUCCGUUUGGGUCAUUUGUCCACCCAGGUUCUCUCGUUGUUUCUGGAACGUUGGGGUUCUUUGAUUCAUCAGUCCAAGCCACAUGCUCUUUCUGGGGAAGGAGACAGAGCCAUGUGAUGGAUAUACACACAAAACACUUCAGAAUGAGGAAGAAGGAGUCUCCAAAGGAAGUGAUAUUUAUUUAUUACAUUCUCUUUUGGAGAUUUUAAUUUUGCCCUUUGUUGUAGCUCACUGUUCAAGUGUGUCUUAGCUUUUUAAUUCUAAGCUUCUUCAAGGCAAGUAUCAACAUAUUCCAUGAAUGUUGGCUGAAGCAGUAAAUGUUAGCUGAGUGAGGAACUUACUAGGCAGAUAACAAAUGAAAUAGCAUCCGACGUUACCAUUUUAAUGGACUAAAGGGUUCAUUUUGACCUUUUCAAAGCUUCAUUAGUGAGUCUUGAGUUCUCAGAAAAUGGGAGAGGGGAAUUAGUAUUUAAGAUACAACUAAUUUAUUUAAAAUAUCAGAUCUCGAAUACUUCUAGCUAUGAUUUGGCUCAAAAACAAUUUAAAUUAGAAUGUUUUGACAUAGAAAAAUUGUUGCUUUUAGUAGAGAAAUAGUGUAUUACCAUUACGAAAACAAUACUACUUAAAACCUGCAUUUUCAAUCUUUCACAAUUAGGCAGUCAGUUUUGUUUUAUAGUCUUAGAAAGUAUGAGAUCUUGCCAACUGGAGUUUUAAAAUCUUCAAAAUGGAAAAUUAAAGAGUAGUUCCUCAUUUCUUUUCUUAGUAACUUUAAAUAAUCUAUGAAAAUGACCUUGCUUUGCGUGUUUUUGCUCUAAAUAGUCUAAGUGCUUUAUUUAAACUGGUUAUUUCAUUCUCUUGAUGCUACACAAGAAGGUUGAUCACACUUGGCCACAACACAGGCAGUACUAUAUAUUGUGAACAUCGAAUUUGUAUUGUUCCUUCAACAAGCUUUUAAUAAAGCAAUUUUUAAGCUUGUUUACAUCAAAUCUGUUCUAGAGGUUGUUUAGUGUAGAGGGUUAGCAUUCUGGAUUUGGAACAAGACUUAACCUGAUAGGAAAUCUAACCCUGCCACAAGGUAGCUCUGGGCAUCCUUAGAGAAGUUACUUAGGCUCACUGAAUUACUUUACUAAUCUGUAAUAUGGCGUUAAUACUGUCCGGCUCAGAUAAUUGAGAAGGUAAAAGGGGGUAAUGUGAUGUGGGUAUGGAGUGUAUGGGCCAUUAUAAAGGCUAGGUAUAAUAUAUGGGCUAUUAUCAUGAUAGCUGUUAUUGUACUUUGGUUGGUACCUAUUGCUUAAUCUCUAGAGGAAGCAAAGUUAGAAAUCCCUGGGAAAGAGCAUUUGUGCACUUGUAUUAAAAGUACUCCUUCUUAAAAUGGAAAGUAUUGCAUUUAAGAGACAGAACAAUGUCCUUAUUUCAUCCCUGAUAAGAUGUCCUGCUUUUAACCCUUGAUAGAUUCCACUGUUGCCUCUACUGCUUAACUCUCAUCCCACCCCCCACUCUGGCCUAAAUGCUCCUCUUCCUUAACUGCAGCCACUAGUAUUUUGUGACAAAAGACCCCUCCUCCAUAGAUGGACCAUGAGAACCACAGGGCCAGUCCCAGUGUGACUUUUUACCUCCCACAAGAAAAUAGUUUCCUACUCCAGUUGAGGUUAAAUUUAAUCUUUUUGGUGAAUGUAGGGCAGCUAUACUUUAGUUUCUUAAAUAAAAAAGAUGUGAGAUGAAGUAAGGCAUAACAUUUAGGGAGACCUACCCAGGCACCGCAGACUUCUAGUGAGGCCGCAGAUCUCAGAACUUCACUGUGAUUAGAACCAUGAUGGUGUUAGACUGACGAUGGCUUGCUUAACCUUACACUUGCCAUGAUUCUGGACUGAGCACACUGUUUCCUGUAAAGAAAAUCUCUGCUUCUUAUGUGCACACAGCAGGUGUUCAUCCUUGCACCAGUCCCUACUCAGUGCCACUUGCUGUUUAUAGUGAUUUUUGAAAUUUUUCAUUUUGCAAAAAUUUCAAACUUAUGGAGGUGUUGCAAGUUUAAAGAGAACUGUAUAGCUUUUGCCCAGAUUGACCAAUUUUGUUUUGAUUGAACACAUGUUAAAUUUUAACUCGUUAUUAAUGAGGGAAACACACAGUGUCACAACUGAUUCAAAGGUUUGUUUAUAGAUCAAAAAUAUGGAAAUGAAUUUGCAAAUGUAUGCAAAACUGGCUUUUUCCACAAAGGGGGAGGGAGGUCUGCUGUACCUCCACUUGACAGAAUUUUUGUACAAGAAUUGUCUUGCCUUUCUAUGAAGACUAAUUUUCAGCAUUUUGCCACAGAUCCUUUAUUCUGAUUAUAUUUUCCUUAAUGCUUUGAGCUUAGUUUGCAUGGCCCUUGCCCCAAUGACCAUAAUACCUUUAAUUCACUGGUAAUUCUGAGAGAAAACACAUUUUCUUAUAAAACCAUAGCAAGUUACUGAAUUUACAAAAUUUAACAUUGAUAUAAUAUUUUAAUCUACAAUUGAUGUUUUGUCAGUUGUUCUGAUAAUAUUCUUGUAUCUCUUUAGUUCUUUUUAUAUUUUCAAUAAAGUUUUGGAGUUUAUUUGUGGAAGUUACAGAAUUUCUGUAAUUGUGUGUUCUUCAUAUGAUAAUAUCCUCAGCUACUAUGUCAAAAGCUUACUUUAAAAAAAUGCAUUUUGAUUCCAAAUACUGGGGGGAAAAUAGCAAGCAUAUAUCAGAACAUCAAAGUAAGUCCCACCAUGCCUACAGUGUACAAAUAGCUGUUGAUGAGUUUGCCAUGCUUACUGAACUGAAUAAGUAUAAAAGCUUUGCGUGUGCAUUCCUAUUUUCAGGCCCAAUACAGUACGUUAACCUCAGAAUAUCAAAUUGAAUCAGGGGUUCUGAGAAGAGCCGUCUGCAAAGCAGUUAGAAUGACACUCUUCAUUACACUAUCUAGAUUCGGGUUUCAGGCAACUAUAACCAGACCUUUUCUAACCUCUCACCUACGGUGAGAUACGCACAGCUACCCAAGUUAGUGACUGCCUUCUGGCACGGGCCCUGUACCUCUUAAAGUGAAGUCCACUGAGGCCCACAGAGCCAAAUCUGAAAUUAUUAGGAAGAAGCUUUUCUGGAUGACAUUUUUUUUUUCUUGGUGAAACCCAAAUAAGUCUGCUUGCUGCACACACAGUAUGUCAGCACGUAUUAUGCAGUCUGGGGCUGAGUGGAUGUGUCAGCUGCCCAUUAGACCACACUAAAAUAGAAUUGCUGGGUGCCUGAAGCAUGAAGCAUGAUAUUAGAUAAAGUGAUGAAAUUUCACUCGAUUAAAGAGCCAGGUCAAGGACAGUUACCUCAGGAAAUUCCUUUUUUCCUCGAAUAUUCUCGCAACUUUGAUGAAUUUAUCGUUUUCUUGCUUAUUUUUCAUUAUCGUCUGGAACUUUAUGAACAAUAAAAUGUGCCCUCAGCAGGCACUGACAUAUUGGAGCGAUCAGAAUCAUAGGUUAUAUUGAUUCAAAGAAAGAAAGGGGGGAAAAAGACGGAAUUGACAUUGCCGCAGGUCAAAAGCCCUUGGAAAUGUUGGAUUGAUUUGUUUAGACAGUUGUUUGAUUUCUCACUCUCUUUCUCAUUCUCUAGCUCUUUUGUUUUUGUUUUUGUUUUUUCUUAAUAAAAGGAUAGGAAAAGAAGAGAAAAGGGUGAUCUUUUUUAUUUUAGGCCAGUCGAAGGAUAGGAACAGAAGCAUAUGGCUUGGCAGAAAGUUUUAUUUUUAUUUAUUUGAUUUAUAAGGACAGAAGAGAAAUGCUUCUUGCAAAGGGCUUCUUUUAUCAAAAAGACUUGCAGGCUGAAAAUAAAUGACUGCAUACCUGCACUGCUUCUUAAAUUUGAGUUGAAAAACCACAGCUAGCCAGGGUAAAGCAGUCUGGCUGUCCCUUCCAGUAGGAAAAAAAAAAAUUUGUAGUUCAUUCAUACUGUAUUCUGACUUAUUUACAGUAACAUUUGAGGAGUGAAGGGAAUGAGAAGUGAAUAUUCAGAUCACUUCAGUUUCCCCCUUAGAUCUUGAGGAUUCUCCUAGCCCCCCUCCUCCCCUCCCAUCCUGCCAGUGAGGGUGGAGGUUCUUAAGUCAGGCGGCAUCCAGGACAACCCUGAGGGAGCAGCACUGAGGCCAGCUAAUCAGAUCAUGUAGAACUCUAAUUCGAUUGGUUCAGCUGCUUCUUCUUUGGGCCAGAAAAUCCACAGUUGCAAAUGUGCUCAUCUGGGGAUUUCAGGACAUUUUGGAGGCAUAAGCUUUCAGCACCACUUGAGGGUCAUUACAAACCCCCAACUCAACAGAUGAUUGAGGAGCCUUAGUUCAAUAAAUUUCCCAGACAGUAUUUUAACUUUGGUGCUUUGAUUUCAUUCCAUGCUGCUUGAGUUUUUAGGUUCCUCUUUCUCCCUUCAUAAUAUAGGAAUAAUAUUAGCAUUUAUACCUCUUCUGGCUUAUAGGAUUAUAAUGAAGAUGAAAUAAAGGCAUCUGUUUAUUUACAGGUAUGUUGAGGUCCUACGAGGAAAAGUGUCAUCUAGAUUUCAAAUGGUGUCAUGACUAUGUUUUUAUACAAUAUGAAUUUUUAAUACUAGUGGACAAAGAAUUGGUGUGACCCAAUUAGCUAUACUUCCUUGGAAUAU